RNAcentral lists this ribosomal RNA (586 nucleotides) under uncultured bacterium. RNAcentral's name for it is "bacterial SSU rRNA". It matches the Rfam family "Bacterial small subunit ribosomal RNA", at positions 338 to 916 of the family's 1533-position model. The record is from RNAcentral.
CCUACGGGAGGCAGCAGUGGGGAAUUUUGGACAAUGGGGGCAACCCUGAUCCAGCAAUGCCGCGUGUGCGACGAAGGCCUUCGGGUUGUAAAGCACUUUUGGCGAGAACGAAACGACAUAGGUUAAUACCCUGUGUUAAUGACGGUACUCGCAGAAUAAGCACCGGCUAACUACGUGCCAGCAGCCGCGGUAAUACGUAGGGUGCAAGCGUUAAUCGGAAUUACUGGGCGUAAAGCGAGCGCAGGCGGCUAUAUAAGACAGUUGUGAAAUCCCCGGGCUUAACCUGGGAACUGCAAAUGUGACUGUAUGGCUAGAGUGUGUCAGAGGGAGGUAGAAUUCCGCGUGUAGCAGUGAAAUGCGUAGAUAUGCGGAGGAAUACCGAUGGCGAAGGCAGCCUCCUGGGAUAACACUGACGCUCAUGCUCGAAAGCGUGGGGAGCAAACAGGAUUAGAUACCCUGGUAGUCCACGCCCUAAACGAUGUCUAUUAGUUGUUGGGUCUUAACUGACUUAGUAACGCAGCUAACGCGUGAAAUAGACCGCCUGGGGAGUACGGCCGCAAGGUUAAAACCUUAAAGGAAUUGACGG